CAGGGGGAACUGGAGCAGCAACGCCGCGUGAGGAAGAAGGCCUUCGGGUCGUAAAGCUCUCCCCCUUGGGGAAGAAAAGGAGGGGGCCCAAAAGAAAAAGGCCGGACGGUACCCAUGGGAGGAAGCCCUGGCUAACUACGUGCCAGCAGCCGCGGUAAUACGAA
This 164-nucleotide ribosomal RNA is filed under the name uncultured Bacillota bacterium. Its description in RNAcentral is "uncultured Firmicutes bacterium partial 16S ribosomal RNA". It matches the Rfam family "Bacterial small subunit ribosomal RNA", at positions 373 to 529 of the family's 1533-position model. Lineage: Bacteria; Bacillati; Bacillota. The record is from RNAcentral.